CAUUUGACGUUAGCUGCAGAAGAAGCACCGGCUAACUCCGUGCCAGCAGCCGCGGUAAUACGGAGGGUGCGAGCGUUAAUACGGAAUUACGUGGGACGUAAAGCGCAUGCAGGUGGUUUAGUUAAGUCAGAUGUAGAAAACGGCCCCGGGGCUACAACCGUACGGUAAUUGCUAUUUAGAAACUGGACAAACUAGAGUACUGUAGAGGGGGUAGAAUUUCAGGUGUAGCGGUGAAAUGCGUAGAGAUCUGAAGGAAUACCGGUGGCGAAGGCGGCCCCCUGGACAGAUACUGACACUCAGAUGCGAAAGCGUGGGGAGCAAACAGGAUUAGAUACCCUGGUAG
This 343-nucleotide ribosomal RNA is filed under the name uncultured bacterium. RNAcentral describes it as "bacterial SSU rRNA". It matches the Rfam family "Bacterial small subunit ribosomal RNA", at positions 466 to 793 of the family's 1533-position model. The record is from RNAcentral.